GUAGGAUAAAGAGGUUGAAAAAAAGGAGAUCGAGCUUAAUCAAAUUCAAAAAAACCUCAAAGAAAUUUCAAAUAAACAGUAAGAAUUCUUAAAGAAAUACUAGAAGGAUCACAAAUAUCACUCAAAUACAUCUCAAUUCAAUCUUAAUUUAAUUCUAGUUAAAAUUAUAUUGAACUUCAUUCAAACUUUAAGCCAAAACUAAUUGAAUCUUAAAUCCUAAUAAAAUCCUAAAUCCUAAAUCAAACCCUAAACAAAUCUUAAACCAAAUCUCAACCAAAUCCUAAACCAAAUCCCAACCAAACUCUAAACGAAAUCCUAAUCCAAAUCCUUAAUCCUAAACCAAAUCCUAAUCUAAAUCUUAAAUCUUAAACCAAAUCCUAAUUCAAAUCCUAAAUCCUAAAUAAAAUCCUAACCAAAUCCUAAACCAAAUCGUAAACUCCAAACCAAAUCCUAACCAAACUUUAACCAAUUUUCUAAAUUCUAAAUAAAAUCAUAACCAAAUCCUUAACCAAAUCAUAAUCCAAAUCCUAUACUAUAAUUAAAUCCUAAAUCCUUAAUCAAAUCCUAAUCUAAAUC
Molecule: long non-coding RNA, 576 nt
Filed under: Physcomitrium patens
Lineage: Eukaryota; Viridiplantae; Streptophyta; Bryopsida; Funariales; Funariaceae
Description: long non-coding RNA (PPAT_LNC014857)
Source: RNAcentral